RNAcentral lists this transfer RNA (64 nucleotides) under Glycinde armigera. RNAcentral describes it as "tRNA-Pro". The record is from RNAcentral. Lineage: Eukaryota; Metazoa; Annelida; Polychaeta; Phyllodocida; Goniadidae.
CAGAAAGUAGUUUACAUAAAAUCUUAACUUUGGGAGUUAAAGACCAGAUACCUCUGCUUUCUGA